This 257-nucleotide long non-coding RNA is filed under the name Lathyrus oleraceus (garden pea). Its description in RNAcentral is "Pisum sativum (pea) long non-coding RNA (PSAT_LNC004213)". The record is from RNAcentral. Lineage: Eukaryota; Viridiplantae; Streptophyta; Magnoliopsida; Fabales; Fabaceae.
UUUGUCUGAGUACUGAUGAUGCUUGAUUGAUUUCAGGUACAUUUAGUCGCUUACAGUUCUUUAAGAACUUGCUUGCUGCUGCUUGGUUUUUUAAACCAGUUGAGGUAGACUCUCUUGUCUCCAUGUAGUCUGGAAGACCUGGCUUGUUAUUUAGCCAGGCAACUGUCUGAAGUCCUCCUUAAGAGGCGAUGUUUGUGAUUGUUUACUUUUGUGCCAAGCAGGUAAAGACCUCUAUGAGGCAAUUGGCGGAACCCAAG